UGCCUCGGGCUCGGGCUCAGGCCCAGGCCCCGCCGCCGCCGGCGGACGCGGCUCCCGCUCCCCUCAGCCGCCGCCGCAGCGCUACGUGGCCGCCGCAGCCAGUCUCGCGACUCCGCCGCGCGGGCGCGCGCCGAGGAGGUUGCGCUCCACUUUGACGAGCAAGUUUUUGUUACUGGAUUAUUAAGAGCAACAAGGUUAGAAACGCCAGAGAGGGUGGGGACACCUUGUUUGUUUGAGCAGCGAGGGCGGCCUGCCUUCAUGUUACCCAAGCCCGAAGCUCUUUCUAUUGCCCUGACAAGUAGAGCCCUGAGAGCGAGUGCUCACACCCUGCUAACACCUCCGGAACCCUGCGAGGGAAGGGCCAGCGUCCUGGGAAGAGGAGUCCAGCCUUGGCCAGGAAUGCCAGGCAGAACAGUCCUUGACUACAGAGUCUCAACUUUUUGUUUUUACAUGAAGGAGUCUGCCAAUACCUGAAAAGUUUGGUGGAGGAUGCCUGACAGUGCUCGCUCACUGCUGCACAGUUCUCAGAGCAACAUCCCAGCAAGCAGAAGGCUGUUUCCUCACCCAGUAUCCCUGUGCAGCCCACACAAAACCACGUCCUGAUUUUAGGGUCACUGUUCCCAUCUGGAGCCAGGUAGCUCGACGACCCACAUGGUCUACAAGGCUGAAGAGCAGCUAUAAACACAAUUUAAACAAGGGGUUCAGCUAGCACCCACCGAGACAGCUACAGGUUCAAGAGCGGCUUUGAAGUCUGGCAAGUUCAUGGCAGCUUUAGGCAUUAAGUGAGGCAGAGCGAGGGUAAAGGAGCAGUUAACAGCCAGGGAACAUUUGUAAAAAGAAUUACACCCAAAAGCAAAGGAAAUGGUGAUUAAUCAGACCCAGGGGCCACUGUUAGAGCCUCAGACACCUCCUGCAGAGGCCAACAGAAAAAGCAGCAGGAAACACUCCACACUCCACUGAAAACGCAGAGCUGGAGGGAGAGGUAAUGCAGAGCCACAGAAGCUGAGAAGGGAUUUCAGACACACAGUUUUGAGCCCAACACCUGGUGCAUGAAACUCAGAGAGAGAAACACAGGAAACGCUAAGGGGGCUUUAAAAGGAGCCUUGGGAGAAAAGUGGAAGCUUCCUUACAAGUGUCUGAAGCGGUAAACCAGAAGAAUAAAGAACAAGAGCACCGGAGGAGGGAGAAGUCUGGAAGUUAUUUGGGAGUUAUGGACCUGACUGCUCAGCUGCUUAAAAUAUUUUGCAAGCUCAGGCACCUCAUCACUGCAAGAGCGUACCCUGCCCAGCAGAAAAAGCAGGCAAGUCUUCCCAUUUUGCCAGAGGCGAGGGCAACAACCCAAAGUGGCUGUAUGAUGACGAAAUGAGCCCACCACUCAGCAGCUUUCCUGAGGUCUCAACAUCCUCAGGGUAGCGAUGACACCCACCUAAGACUGCGUUGCUCAGGGAUAACAGACAUCGUAUGAGCACCCUAUUUGCAGGCUGGGGGUGUGCCAGGCUAGAGCCGUGCCUUCCGACAGCUGCUGACAGGUUUGAAGUUCACUGUAGGCUGUACCUGGUACAAUACACCCCCAUUUUGUUUCCAACAGCACAGUGUUGAAUCAAAAGAGCACUCUGGAAAAAUAUAUGUACAUGCAGUAAAUGACAGCCUGAACUGUGCAUGGAAAGCAAUUAAAAACCCUCACAAUAACCUCAAGAUACUUUCAGCCUUACCUCCUUGUUUCAGGAAUUCAGCCUAAGAAUCAUAUUUCAAGAUUUUGUCAAGACCUAUUUGGAUAAAAGUCGCUUAGCACAGGCAAAUAAUCUAGCACCAGCAUGGGGGGGUCUUGCUUCACUGACCCAACCUUCAUUCUUCUGAGAUACAUUUUCAACAAAACAAACAACCCCACGCUACUACACUUGGGACCGUGACAUUUAUUGAAGGCUGGUUAUACAAUCUCACCCAUCACAUCCUCCUCACAAUUCAGUUUCCCUAAAUAAAAAAAGCAUUGAUGUAACAGAGAA
Grus americana (Whooping crane) is the source of this 2003-nucleotide long non-coding RNA. RefSeq lists it as uncharacterized. The record is from RefSeq and is a predicted model, not a curated record. The transcript is spliced from 2 exons. Lineage: Eukaryota; Metazoa; Chordata; Aves; Gruiformes; Gruidae.